Molecule: regulatory RNA element, 221 nt
Organism: Chlorocebus sabaeus (green monkey)
Lineage: Eukaryota; Metazoa; Chordata; Mammalia; Primates; Cercopithecidae
Source: Rfam
AAUGCGCCUGCAGCUCGCGCUCCCGCGCCGAUCCCGAGAGCGUCCGGGCCACCGUGCGCGAGCGAGGGAGGGGGCGCGCGCGCGGGGGGCGCGCUCGUGAGUGCGGGCCGCGCUCUCGGCGGCGCGCAUGUGCGUGUGUGCGGGCUGCCGGGCUGCCCCGAGCCGGCGGGGAGCCUGUCCGCUCCAGGAGGCGGGCGGCGGGAGCGAGGUGAGGCUGCGGG